RNAcentral lists this ribosomal RNA (427 nucleotides) under uncultured bacterium. RNAcentral's name for it is "bacterial SSU rRNA". It matches the Rfam family "Bacterial small subunit ribosomal RNA", at positions 355 to 776 of the family's 1533-position model. The record is from RNAcentral.
UCGAGAAUUUUUCUCAAUGGGCGAAAGCCUGAAGGAGCGACGCCGCGUGAAGGAUGAAGGUCUUCGGAUUGUAAACUUCUGUCAUUAAGGAACAAACACUUCGUUUAACUGACGGAGGACUGAUAGUACUUAAAGAGGAAGGGACGGCUAACUCUGUGCCAGCAGCCGCGGUAAUACAGAGGUCUCAACCGUUGUUCGGAUUUAUUGGGCGUAAAGGGUGCGUAGGUGGUUUCGUAAGUCGGGUGUGAAAUCCUAAGGCUCAACCUUGGAACUGCACUCGAUACUGCAUAACUCGAGCGCUGGAAAGGAGACUGGAAUUUACGGUGUAGCAGUGAAAUGCGUAGAUAUCGUAAGGAAGACCAGUGGCGAAAGCGAGUCUCUGGACAGAUGCUGACACUGAGGCACGAAGGCCAGGGGAGCAAACGGG